Molecule: ribosomal RNA, 253 nt
Filed under: uncultured bacterium
Lineage: Bacteria
Description: partial 16S ribosomal RNA
Rfam family: Bacterial small subunit ribosomal RNA
Source: RNAcentral
UACGGAGGGAGCUAGCGUUGUUCGGAAUUACUGGGCGUAAAGCGCACGUAGGCGGCUUUGUAAGUUAGAGGUGAAAGCCCGGGGCUCAACUCCGGAAUAGCCUUUAAGACUGCAUCGCUUGAAUCCGGGAGAGGUGAGUGGAAUUCCGAGUGUAGAGGUGAAAUUCGUAGAUAUUCGGAAGAACACCAGUGGCGAAGGCGGCUCACUGGACCGGUAUUGACGCUGAGGUGCGAAAGCGUGGGGAGCAAACAGG